CUCCUUUGACGUUAGCGGCGGACGGGUGAGUAACACGUGGGUAACCUACCUAUAAGACUGGGAUAACUUCGGGAAACCGGAGUUAAUACCGGAUAAUAUUUCGAACCGCAUGGUUCGAUAGUGAAAGGUGGUUUUGCUAUCACUUAUAGAUGGACCCGCGCCGUAUUAGCUAGUUGGUAAGGUAACGGCUUACCAAGGCGACGAUACGUAGCCGACCUGAGAGGGUGAUCGGCCACACUGGAACUGAGACACGGUCCAGACUCCUACGGGAGGCAGCAGUC
Molecule: ribosomal RNA, 281 nt
Filed under: uncultured Staphylococcus sp.
Lineage: Bacteria; Bacillati; Bacillota; Bacilli; Caryophanales; Staphylococcaceae
Description: partial 16S ribosomal RNA
Rfam family: Bacterial small subunit ribosomal RNA
Source: RNAcentral